Molecule: ribosomal RNA, 446 nt
Filed under: uncultured bacterium
Lineage: Bacteria
Description: SSU rRNA
Rfam family: Bacterial small subunit ribosomal RNA
Source: RNAcentral
AGAGCGAACGCUGGCGGCAGGCUUAACACAUGCAAGUCGAACGGAUCCUUCGGGAUUAGUGGCGGACGGGUGAGUAACACGUGGGAACGUGCCUUUGGUUCGGAACAACUCAGGGAAACUUGAGCUAAUACCGGAUGUGCCCUUCGGGGGAAAGAUUUAUCGCCAUUAGAGCGGCCCGCGUCUGAGUUAGCUAGUUGGUGAGGUAAAGGCCCACCAAGGCUACGAUCAGUAGCUGGUCUGAGAGGAUGACCAGCCACAUUGGGACUGAGACACGGCCCAAACUCCUACGGGAGGCAGCAGUGGGGAAUCUUGCGCAAUGGGCGAAAGCCUGACGCAGCCAUGCCGCGUGAAUGAUGAAGGUCUUAGGAUUGUAAAAUUCUUUCACCGGGGACGAUAAUGACGGUACCCGGAGAAGAAGCCCCGGCUAACUUCGCGCCAGCAGCCGC